CUCCCUUGACUCUGGUCAAUGAACGGACCAAGGACUACAACUCCCAGGGUGCCUCGCGCUUCGCCUUUCUUUCGAACUCCGGGCGAUUGAGAGAUUGGCGUCCGCGGGCCUCCGGAGCGGGAGGCCGGAGCGAGUUGGGCUCGAGUGGGGUCCGGACCUGCGGCUGUGGCUAGCGGCUGCGCCUCCGCGGGGAAUGGACCUGCAACACCAGACAAAUAAGAGAUCACCCUCUCUGAGUCCUCUCUUGCCAGGCAGGGACUGUCGGCCUUGGUAAUGCUCAGGAAGGGGAGGAUGAGCCUGAUGUGGGCAGAAUUCAAAUGAGCUGGACAGCGCCGUGAACAAGCUACAAGCAGCUCCCAGAGCCUUGAGAUGGUAGGCAGAAUGCAGACUCUCACCACUACUUCCACCCCCAAGGUCUUGACUGCCUGCAGAACUUUAGGGGCUGGGUGACAAGGGUUAGGAUAUGGUCCCCAGAGAAGAAUGAU
Molecule: long non-coding RNA, 485 nt
Filed under: Zalophus californianus (California sea lion)
Lineage: Eukaryota; Metazoa; Chordata; Mammalia; Carnivora; Otariidae
Description: lncRNA (ENSZCAG00015024747.1)
Source: RNAcentral